Molecule: ribosomal RNA, 404 nt
Filed under: uncultured bacterium
Lineage: Bacteria
Description: bacterial SSU rRNA
Rfam family: Bacterial small subunit ribosomal RNA
Source: RNAcentral
AAUCAACGCUGGCGGCGUGCCUAACACAUGCAAGUCGAACGCGAAAGCCCCGCAAGGGGGUGAGUAGAGUGGCAAACGGGUGAGUAACACGUGGGUGACCUGCCUUCGAGCGGGGGAUAACGUCCCGAAAGGGACGCUAAUACCGCAUAACAUCCUGCCUUUUAAGAGGUGGAGAUCAAAGCCGGGGAUUCGCAAGAACCUGGCACUUGAAGAGGGGCCCGCGCCUGAUUAGCUAGUUGGGGGGUAAUGGCCUACCAAGGCAACGAUCAGUAUCCGGCCUGAGAGGACGGACGGACACACUGGGACUGAGACACGGCCCAGACUCCUACGGGAGGCAGCAGUGGGGAAUUGUUCGCAAUGGGCGCAAGCCUGACGACGCAACGCCGCGUGGAGGAUGAAGACCU